Molecule: ribosomal RNA, 2923 nt
Filed under: Klebsiella pneumoniae
Lineage: Bacteria; Pseudomonadati; Pseudomonadota; Gammaproteobacteria; Enterobacterales; Enterobacteriaceae
Description: 23S ribosomal RNA
Rfam family: Bacterial large subunit ribosomal RNA
Source: RNAcentral
GGGUUGUGAGGUUAAGCGACUAAGCGUACACGGUGGAUGCCCUGGCAGUCAGAGGCGAUGAAGGACGUACUAAUCUGCGAAAAGCGUCGGUAAGGUGAUAUGAACCGUUAUAACCGGCGAUGUCCGAAUGGGGAAACCCAGUGCAAUUCGUUGCACUAUCGUUAACUGAAUACAUAGGUUAACGAGGCGAACCGGGGGAACUGAAACAUCUAAGUACCCCGAGGAAAAGAAAUCAACCGAGAUUCCCCCAGUAGCGGCGAGCGAACGGGGAGCAGCCCAGAGUCUGAAUCAGCUUGUGUGUUAGUGGAACGGUCUGGAAAGUCCGACGGUACAGGGUGAUAGUCCCGUACACCAAAAUGCACAGGCUGUGAACUCGAAGAGUAGGGCGGGACACGUGGUAUCCUGUCUGAAUAUGGGGGGACCAUCCUCCAAGGCUAAAUACUCCUGACUGACCGAUAGUGAACCAGUACCGUGAGGGAAAGGCGAAAAGAACCCCGGCGAGGGGAGUGAAAAAGAACCUGAAACCGUGUACGUACAAGCAGUGGGAGCACCUUCGGGUGUGACUGCGUACCUUUUGUAUAAUGGGUCAGCGACUUAUAUUCUGUAGCAAGGUUAACCGUAUAGGGGAGCCGCAGGGAAACCGAGUCUUAACUGGGCGUUAAGUUGCAGGGUAUAGACCCGAAACCCGGUGAUCUAGCCAUGGGCAGGUUGAAGGUUGGGUAACACUAACUGGAGGACCGAACCGACUAAUGUUGAAAAAUUAGCGGAUGACUUGUGGCUGGGGGUGAAAGGCCAAUCAAACCGGGAGAUAGCUGGUUCUCCCCGAAAGCUAUUUAGGUAGCGCCUCGUGAACUCAUCUUCGGGGGUAGAGCACUGUUUCGGCUAGGGGGUCAUCCCGACUUACCAACCCGAUGCAAACUACGAAUACCGAAGAAUGUUAUCACGGGAGACACACGGCGGGUGCUAACGUCCGUCGUGAAGAGGGAAACAACCCAGACCGCCAGCUAAGGUCCCAAAGUCAUGGUUAAGUGGGAAACGAUGUGGGAAGGCACAGACAGCCAGGAUGUUGGCUUAGAAGCAGCCAUCAUUUAAAGAAAGCGUAAUAGCUCACUGGUCGAGUCGGCCUGCGCGGAAGAUGUAACGGGGCUAAACCAUGCACCGAAGCUGCGGCAGCGACACUAUGUGUUGUUGGGUAGGGGAGCGUUCUGUAAGCCUGCGAAGGUGUGCUGUGAGGCAUGCUGGAGGUAUCAGAAGUGCGAAUGCUGACAUAAGUAACGAUAAAGCGGGUGAAAAGCCCGCUCGCCGGAAGACCAAGGGUUCCUGUCCAACGUUAAUCGGGGCAGGGUGAGUCGACCCCUAAGGCGAGGCCGAAAGGCGUAGUCGAUGGGAAACAGGUUAAUAUUCCUGUACUUGGUGUUACUGCGAAGGGGGGACGGAGAAGGCUAUGUUAGCCGGGCGACGGUUGUCCCGGUUUAAGCAUGUAGGCUGGUUGUCCAGGCAAAUCCGGAUAAUCAAGGCUGAGGUGUGAUGACGAGGCACUACGGUGCUGAAGUAACAAAUGCCCUGCUUCCAGGAAAAGCCUCUAAGCAUCAGGUAACAUCAAAUCGUACCCCAAACCGACACAGGUGGUCAGGUAGAGAAUACCAAGGCGCUUGAGAGAACUCGGGUGAAGGAACUAGGCAAAAUGGUGCCGUAACUUCGGGAGAAGGCACGCUGGUGUGUAGGUGAAGCCCCUGCGGGUGGAGCUGAGACCAGUCGAAGAUACCAGCUGGCUGCAACUGUUUAUUAAAAACACAGCACUGUGCAAACACGAAAGUGGACGUAUACGGUGUGACGCCUGCCCGGUGCCGGAAGGUUAAUUGAUGGGGUUAUCCGUAAGGAGAAGCUCUUGAUCGAAGCCCCGGUAAACGGCGGCCGUAACUAUAACGGUCCUAAGGUAGCGAAAUUCCUUGUCGGGUAAGUUCCGACCUGCACGAAUGGCGUAAUGAUGGCCAGGCUGUCUCCACCCGAGACUCAGUGAAAUUGAACUCGCUGUGAAGAUGCAGUGUACCCGCGGCAAGACGGAAAGACCCCGUGAACCUUUACUAUAGCUUGACACUGAACAUUGAGCCUUGAUGUGUAGGAUAGGUGGGAGGCUUUGAAGCGUGGACGCCAGUCUGCGUGGAGCCAACCUUGAAAUACCACCCUUUAAUGUUUGAUGUUCUAACGUUGGCCCCUGACCGGGGUUGCGGACAGUGUCUGGUGGGUAGUUUGACUGGGGCGGUCUCCUCCCAAAGCGUAACGGAGGAGCACGAAGGUUAGCUAAUCCUGGUCGGACAUCAGGAGGUUAGUGCAAUGGCAUAAGCUAGCUUGACUGCGAGCGUGACGGCGCGAGCAGGUGCGAAAGCAGGUCAUAGUGAUCCGGUGGUUCUGAAUGGAAGGGCCAUCGCUCAACGGAUAAAAGGUACUCCGGGGAUAACAGGCUGAUACCGCCCAAGAGUUCAUAUCGACGGCGGUGUUUGGCACCUCGAUGUCGGCUCAUCACAUCCUGGGGCUGAAGUAGGUCCCAAGGGUAUGGCUGUUCGCCAUUUAAAGUGGUACGCGAGCUGGGUUUAGAACGUCGUGAGACAGUUCGGUCCCUAUCUGCCGUGGGCGCUGGAGAAUUGAGGGGGGCUGCUCCUAGUACGAGAGGACCGGAGUGGACGCAUCACUGGUGUUCGGGUUGUCAUGCCAAUGGCACUGCCCGGUAGCUAAAUGCGGAAGAGAUAAGUGCUGAAAGCAUCUAAGCACGAAACUUGCCCCGAGAUGAGUUCUCCCUGAGACUUUAAGUCUCCUGAAGGAACGUUAAAGACGAUGACGUUGAUAGGCCGGGUGUGUAAGCGCAGCGAUGCGUUGAGCUAACCGGUACUAAUGAACCGUGAGGCUUAACCUUACAACGCCGAAG